RNAcentral lists this ribosomal RNA (466 nucleotides) under Phylloscopus coronatus. Its description in RNAcentral is "partial 16S ribosomal RNA". It matches the Rfam family "Bacterial large subunit ribosomal RNA", at positions 1970 to 2594 of the family's 2925-position model. The record is from RNAcentral. Lineage: Eukaryota; Metazoa; Chordata; Aves; Passeriformes; Phylloscopidae.
UGUCCCGUAAAUCGGGACUUGUAUGAAUGGCUAAACGAGGUCUUAACUGUCUCUUACAGGCAAUCGGUGAAAUUGAUCUCCCUGUGCGAAAGCAGGGAUGCACACAUAAGACGAGAAGACCCUGUGGAACUUCAAAAACAGCGACCACCCCGGCAUACAUUCCCCCCCACCUCGGGCACACUUAUCUCACGGGCCACUGGCCGCAUUUUUUCGGUUGGGGCGACCUUGGAGCAAAACAAAACCUCCAAAAAUUGGACCAUACCUCUAGACUAAGAGCGACCUCUCAACGUGCUAAUAGCAACCAGACCCAAUACAUUUGACCAAUGGACCAAGCUACCCCAGGGAUAACAGCGCAAUCUCCUCCAAGAGUCCAUAUCGACGAGGAGGUUUACGACCUCGAUGUUGGAUCAGGACAUCCUAGUGGUGCAGCCGCUACUAAGGGCUCGUUUGUUCAACGAUUAACAGU